Homo sapiens (human) is the source of this 561-nucleotide long non-coding RNA. NCBI's taxonomy places the organism in Eukaryota, Metazoa, Chordata, Mammalia, Primates, Hominidae. The record is from Ensembl.
ACCACAACACACUUUCUGAGGCAGAACGUAAAAGGUAGAGCCACGUUUGGUAUCCGAGCUGCAGUGAGGCCUUCUUCAUGAAGCCUCUCCCAGUUCUCCGCCUCACCCCACCAAGCUGGAACUGAUCGCAGCCUCCAAACUCCCACAGCAAUCCUUUGCCUCCUCUUCUGACGCUACUCUUUCUCUCUUGGAUGAAAGCCGUGUGUAUCCAUGUUGGUUCUCCACUUCUAGAACCUGUCGUUUUGGGGCUGCAGGACUUGGUGGAUUCACACUGGCAUCCCCUCAGGAAGCAGAAUAAUGAGUUGGUUCCGUAGCAGCUCGGAAUGAUGACGAUGGUUGCCAGAAUAAUAGCCCCUGAUGUGCACAACUUAAUCCCCAGAAGCAAUGUCACCUUACAUGGCAAAGGCACUCUGCAGAAGUGAUCAAGUCAAGGAUCUUGAGAUGAGGAGAUGAUCUUGGAUUCUCCUCCUGGCCCAGUGUUAUCACAAAGGACAGCUGAAGAGGGAGACAAAAGGGUCUGAGUCACAGAGGAUGUGAGGACAGAGCAGAAGUCUCGGUGGU